Molecule: ribosomal RNA, 487 nt
Filed under: uncultured bacterium
Lineage: Bacteria
Description: bacterial SSU rRNA
Rfam family: Bacterial small subunit ribosomal RNA
Source: RNAcentral
GAUCAUGGCUCAGGACAAACGCUGGCGGCGUGCCUAAUACAUGCAAGUCGAAACGAGAAUCUCUGGCUUGCCAGAGAGGAAAGUGGCGGACGGGUGAGUAAUAUGUAGGAAAUCUGCCCUCAAGAGGGGGACAACAGUUGGAAACGACUGCUAAUACCCCAUAUGAGCUUAGUUGAAAUACUAAUCUUGAAAUGAUUUUUCGCUUGAGGAUGAGCCUGCAUCUGAUUAGCUUGUUGGUGGUGUGAUGGACUACCAAGGCGACGAUCAGUAGCUGGUUUGAGAGGAUGAUCAGCCACGAUGGGACUGAGACACGGCCCAUACUCCUACGGGAGGCAGCAGUAGGGAAUUUUGCGCAAUGGGCGAAAGCCUGACGCAGCCAACGCCGCGUGAGUGAUGAAGCCCCUCGGGGUGUAAAACUCUGUCAGUAGGGACAAAUUCUGAUGGUACCUACAGAGGAAGCAUCGGCUAACUACGUGCCAGCAGCCGC